GACGAACGCUGGCGGCGUGCUUAACACAUGCCAGUCGAACGGAAAGGCCCUGCUUUUGUGGGGUGCUCGAGUGGCGAACGGGUGAGUAACACGUGAGUAACCUGCCCUUGACUUUGGGAUAACUUCAGGAAACUGGGGCUAAUACCGGAUAGGAGCUCCUGCUGCAUGGUGGGGGUUGGAAAGUUUCGGCGGUUGGGGAUGGACUCGCGGCUUAUCAGCUUGUUGGUGGGGUAGUGGCUUACCAAGGCUUUGACGGGUAGCCGGCCUGGGAGGGUGACCGGCCACAUUGGGACUGAGAUACGGCCCAGAGGCCUACGGGGGGCAGCAGGGGGGAAUAUUGCACAAUGGGCGGAAGCCUGAUGCAGCAACGCCGCGUGCGGGAUGACGGCCUUCGGGUUGUAAACCGCUUUCGCCUGUGACGAAGCGUGAGUGACGGUAAUGGGUAAAGAAGCACCGGCUAACUACGUG
Molecule: ribosomal RNA, 468 nt
Filed under: uncultured bacterium
Lineage: Bacteria
Description: partial 16S ribosomal RNA
Rfam family: Bacterial small subunit ribosomal RNA
Source: RNAcentral